GAAAUGCGAUAAGUAAUGUGAAUUGCAGAAUUCAGUGAAUCAUCGAAUCUUUGAACGCACAUUGCGCCCGCCAGUAUUCUGGCGGGCAUGCCUGUUCGAGCGUCAUUUCAACCAUCAAGCCCCCGGCUUGUGUUGGGGACCUGCGGCUGCCCGCAGGCCCUGAAAAACAGUGGCGGGCUCGCUGUCACACCGAGCGUAGUAGCAUACAUUCUCGCUCAGGGCGUGCUGCGGGUUCCGGCCGUUAAACGACCUUCAUAACCCAAGGUUGAUCUCGGAUCAGGUAGGAAGACCCGCUGAACUUAAGC
Molecule: unclassified non-coding RNA, 305 nt
Filed under: plant metagenome
Description: partial contains 5.8S ribosomal RNA, internal transcribed spacer 2, and large subunit ribosomal RNA
Rfam family: 5.8S ribosomal RNA (bases 1-105)
Source: RNAcentral